UGCAUCGGCCGGGAAUCGAACCCGGCGUGGCAGGCGAGCACUCUACCACUGAACCACCGAUGG
This 63-nucleotide transfer RNA is filed under the name Cordylochernes scorpioides. RNAcentral describes it as "tRNA-OTHER". Lineage: Eukaryota; Metazoa; Arthropoda; Arachnida; Pseudoscorpiones; Chernetidae. The record is from RNAcentral.